GACGAACGCUGGCGGCGUGCUUAACACGUGCAAGUCGAGCGGUAAGGCCUUUCGGGGUCCACGAGCGGCGAACGGGUGAGUAACACGUGGGUGAUCUGCCCUGCACUUCGGGAUAAGCCUGGGAAACUGGGUCUAAUACCGGAUAUGACCUCCUAUCGCAUGGUGGGUGGUGGAAAGAUUUAUCGGUGCAGGAUGGGCCCGCGGCCUAUCAGCUUGUUGGUGGGGUAAUGGCCUACCAAGGCGACGACGGGUAGCCGACCUGAGAGGGUGACCGGCCACACUGGGACUGAGACACGGCCCAGACUCCUACGGGAGGCAGCAGUGGGGAAUAUUGCACAAUGGGCGAAAGCCUGAUGCAGCGACGCCGCGUGAGGGAUGACGGCCUUCGGGUUGUAAACCUCUUUCAGCAGGGACGAAGCGCAAGUGACGGUACCUGCAGAAGAAGCACCGGCUAACUACGUG
RNAcentral lists this ribosomal RNA (462 nucleotides) under uncultured bacterium. RNAcentral's name for it is "partial 16S ribosomal RNA". It matches the Rfam family "Bacterial small subunit ribosomal RNA", at positions 28 to 507 of the family's 1533-position model. The record is from RNAcentral.